GCAGUCGACGGUAACAGGUCUUCGGAUGCUGACGAGUGGCGAACGGGUGCGUAAUACAUCGGAACGUGCCCGAUCGUGGGGGAUAACGGAGCGAAAGCUUUGCUAAUACCGCAUACGAUCUACGGAUGAAAGCAGGGGACCGCAAGGCCUUGCGCGGACGGAGCGGCCGAUGGCAGAUUAGGUAGUUGGUGGGAUAAAAGCUUACCAAGCCGACGAUCUGUAGCUGGUCUGAGAGGACGACCAGCCACACUGGGACUGAGACACGGCCCAGACUCCUACGGGAGGCAGCAGUGGGGAAUUUUGGACAAUGGGCGAAAGCCUGAUCCAGCCAUGCCGCGUGCAGGAUGAAGGCCUUCGGGUUGUAAACUGCUUUUGUACGGAACGAAAAGACUCCUUCUAAUAAAGGGGGUCCAUGACGGUACCGUAAGAAUAAGCACCGGCUAACUACGUGCCAGCAGCCGCGGUAAUACGUAGGGUGCAAGCGUUAAUCGGAAUUACUGGGCGUAAAGUGCGCGUAGGUGGUUAGUUAAGUUGGAUGUGAAAUCCCCGGGCUCAACCUGGGAACUGCAUUCAAAACUGACUGACUAGAGUAUGGUAGAGGGUGGUGGAAUUUCCUGUGUAGCGGUGAAAU
This 631-nucleotide ribosomal RNA is filed under the name uncultured bacterium. Its description in RNAcentral is "bacterial SSU rRNA". It matches the Rfam family "Bacterial small subunit ribosomal RNA", at positions 57 to 687 of the family's 1533-position model. The record is from RNAcentral.